This 378-nucleotide long non-coding RNA is filed under the name Heterocephalus glaber (naked mole-rat). RNAcentral describes it as "lncRNA (ENSHGLG00000040408.1)". Lineage: Eukaryota; Metazoa; Chordata; Mammalia; Rodentia; Bathyergidae. The record is from RNAcentral.
AAAGAGCACCGAUUUCUUCUUGUAAGUUGGAGAGUUUGCCUUGUCAUCCGUUGGCAUGACAAAGUUCUCCCAGGCCGAAGUUAAAAGGUACAGGUGUGGCCUCACUUUGCCUCCUGUGGGGUGACUUCUGCAGUUGGUGCUGGACAGUCUCGCAGUUUUACAAGGCCCUGGCUUCUUUCCUGCCUUUCAGUACCAGGGAUGGAACUCAGGACCUUGCACUUGUACGGCAGGCGUUGGUGCCACUGAGCUUAAAUUCCCGGCCCUCAUUUCUUACUUCUUUAAUCACGUCCUGGUUGAGUGCAUGACUUUCAUUAUCCACUAACUCCUAUCUCUUUUGAAAAUUGCUGGUACUUACAUUAUACUUAAAUAAAAAUAAUG